Molecule: ribosomal RNA, 400 nt
Filed under: uncultured bacterium
Lineage: Bacteria
Description: bacterial SSU rRNA
Rfam family: Bacterial small subunit ribosomal RNA
Source: RNAcentral
UGGGGAAUAUUGGGCAAUGGACGAAAGUCUGACCCAGCAAUGCCGCGUGUAUGAUGAAGGCGUUAUGCGUUGUAAAGUACUUUUAGCAGGGACGAUAAUGACGGUACCUGCAGAAUAAGCACCGACUAACUAUGUGCCAGCAGUCGCGGUAAUACAUAGGGUGCUAGCGUUACUCGGAUUUACUGGGCGUAAAGCGUGCGUAGGCGGCUGAUUAAGUCGGAUGUGAAAUCCCUGAGCUUAACUUAGGAAUUGCAUUCGAUACUGGUCGGCUAGAGUAUGGGAGAGGAUGGUAGAAUUCCAGGUGUAGCGGUGAAAUGCGUAGAGAUCUGGAGGAAUACCGAUGGCGAAGGCAGCCAUCUGGCCUAAUACUGACGCUGAGGUACGAAAGCAUGGGGAGCAA